UACGUAGGUGGCAAGCGUUGUCCGGAUUUACUGGGCGUAAAGCGCGCGCAGGCGGGCUGGUCAGUCCGGGGUGAAAUCUCACGGCUCAACCGUGAGCGGUCCCCGGAUACUGCCAGUCUUGAAGUGUCUAGAGGAGAGCGGAAUUCCCGGUGUAGUGGUGGAAUGCGUAGAUAUCGGGAAGAACACCAGUGGCGAAAGCGGCUCUCUGGGGACCACCUGACGCUGAGGCGCGAAAGCGUGGGGAGCGAACCGG
Molecule: ribosomal RNA, 253 nt
Filed under: uncultured bacterium
Lineage: Bacteria
Description: partial 16S ribosomal RNA
Rfam family: Bacterial small subunit ribosomal RNA
Source: RNAcentral